This 466-nucleotide ribosomal RNA is filed under the name uncultured bacterium. RNAcentral's name for it is "partial 16S ribosomal RNA". It matches the Rfam family "Bacterial small subunit ribosomal RNA", at positions 28 to 507 of the family's 1533-position model. The record is from RNAcentral.
GAUGAACGCUGGCGGCGUGCUUAACACAUGCAAGUCGAACGGAAAGGCCCAAGCUUGCUUGGGUACUCGAGUGGCGAACGGGUGAGUAACACGUGGGUGAUCUGCCCCGCACUUCGGGAUAAGCCUGGGAAACUGGGUCUAAUACCGGAUAGGACCACUUCUUGGAGGUUGUGGUGGAAAGUUUUUUCGGUGUGGGAUGAGCUCGCGGCCUAUCAGCUUGUUGGUGGGGUAAUGGCCUACCAAGGCGUCGACGGGUAGCCGGCCUGAGAGGGUGUACGGCCACAUUGGGACUGAGAUACGGCCCAGACUCCUACGGGAGGCAGCAGUGGGGAAUAUUGCACAAUGGGCGCAAGCCUGAUGCAGCGACGCCGCGUGGGGGAUGACGGCCUUCGGGUUGUAAACUCCUUUCGCUAGGGACGAAGCGCAAGUGACGGUACCUAGAGAAGAAGCACCGGCUAACUACGAG